GGUCCCGUAGUUCAAUGGAUAGAAUAGAAGUUUCCUAAACUUUAGAUGCAGGUUCGAUUCCUGCCGGGACCACCU
This 75-nucleotide transfer RNA is filed under the name Sphingobacteriales bacterium. RNAcentral's name for it is "tRNA-Arg". It matches the Rfam family "tRNA". From Rfam's summary of the family: Transfer RNA (tRNA) molecules are approximately 80 nucleotides in length. Their secondary structure includes four short double-helical elements and three loops (D, anti-codon, and T loops). The record is from RNAcentral. Lineage: Bacteria; Pseudomonadati; Bacteroidota; Sphingobacteriia; Sphingobacteriales.